ACGGCUCAGUAACACGUAGUCAAUCUACCCUAUGGACGGGAAUAACCUCGGGAAACUGAGAAUAAUGCCCGAUAGAACAUUAUGCCUGGAAUGGUUUAUGUUUCAAAUGAUUUAUCGCCAUAGGAUGGGACUGCGGCCUAUCAGUUUGUUGGUGAGGUAAUGGCCCACCAAGACUAUUACAGGUACGGGCUCUGAGAGGAGUAGCCCGGAGAUGGGUACUGAGACACGGACCCAGGCCCUAUGGGGCGCAGCAGGCGAGAAAACUUUGCAAUGUGCGAAAGCACGACAAGGUUAAUCCGAGUGGUUUCUGCUAAAGAAACCUUUUGUCAGUCCUAGAAACACUAACGAAUAAGGGGUGGGCAAGUUCUGGUGUCAGCCGCCGCGGUAAAACCAGCACCUCAAGUGGUCAGGAUGAUUAUUGGGCCUAAAGCAUCCGUAGCUCGUUUUGUAAGUUUUCGGUUAAAUCCAUGCGCUUAACGUAUGGGCUGCCGGGAAUACUGCAUAACUAGGAAGUGGGAGAGGUAGACGGUACUCGGUAGGAAGGGGUAAAAUCCUUUGAUCUAUUGAUGACCACCUGUGGCGAAGGCGGUCUACCAGAACACGUUCGACGGUGAGGGAUGAAAGCUGGGGGAGCAAACCGGAUUAGAUACCCGGGUAGUCCCAGCUGUAAACUAUGCAAACUCAGUGAUGCAUUGGCUUAUGGCCAAUGCAGUGCUGCAGGGAAGCCGUUAAGUUUGCCGCCUGGGAAGUACGUACGCAAGUAUGAAACUUAAAGGAAUUGGCCGGGGAGCAC
Molecule: ribosomal RNA, 793 nt
Filed under: uncultured archaeon
Lineage: Archaea
Description: bacterial SSU rRNA
Rfam family: Archaeal small subunit ribosomal RNA
Source: RNAcentral